Molecule: small RNA, 433 nt
Filed under: Spirastrella sp. QM G333555
Lineage: Eukaryota; Metazoa; Porifera; Demospongiae; Clionaida; Spirastrellidae
Description: sequence contains 28S rRNA gene
Source: RNAcentral
CAAAAAGACCGCGAAACCGUUAGGAGGGAAACGAAUGCAGCUGAAGUGGUUCCUAUCAGGUUCAGGGGACGUCGGGAGACGCGUCGGCUGGUGGCAGCCCUAGGCGUCGUCAAUCGGGACGAUCUCGCGACAACUCUGCACUCCUGUGAGGAGCCGGCCAACGGCAGUUGCCCCUAGCCCAGAAGGUCGGUCGGGAGGUGCCUCUGCACUCGUGCAGAGAACGUACAGCCGUCAGUCCGGAGGUCCGGGGACGACUGAGGAGAGUCGUGAAUUUUCACGCGUGCAGCGCAGGCCCUUGGGCCGGGUCGCCUCUGUCCGUUUGGGCCCCGCGGUGGGGACUGCCUUGCAGUGUCCGCCGACGGUCAGUCCGCUCGGUCGGGGGGUCGGCCACGCCGUGCGCUCAAGUUGUUGGUGCUCGAAUGGCUGCAUCCGA